CACAGCAUAGGGAAAGUCCCAGGCUAGGGGUUGAAUCAGAGAUGCAGCUGCCAGCCUUCACCACAGCCACAGAAACUAGGGAUCUGAGCCGCAUCUGUGACCUACACCACAGUUCACGGCAACACCAGAUCCUUAACCCACGGAGCAAGGCCAGGGAUCGAACUCGCAUCCUCGUGGAUACUAGUCAGGUUCGUUACCGCUCAGCCAUGACAGGAAGUCCUACAUUCCAAAUCUUGGGAUGAAAACAUCUGUUGUGGCUCACCUGGACUAGAAAUAGUCAGGGGAGGGAAUUCCAAGAAACAAUUCACCCUGGAUGGGUUGACACAUUAUGAGACCACACCAGUCCCCAGCUUGUCAACUUGUCACUCAUACACAGGUCUUUAAGGCAGGCUUAAUUUCCAAAUAGAAAUGUUAGCAAAGUCACAUUUCUAUCAAACAUGAGGCAUACAACAAAAACAGCAUAACCAUUUGCCUCAAAAUGAAUGCAAAAACCUUGCUUUUUAUUGAUGUUUAUUGUUUUUCCAGAUGAUUUACACUCUUCAUUUAUAAUCUUGUAACUUAAAUAUCUUUUUUCUUUGUUUGUUCUUUUUAGGGCCAUACCUAUGGCAUAUGGCUUCUGCUCCCAGGCUAGGGGUUGAAUCAGAGCUGUAUCUGCUAUCUACACCACAGGUCAAGGCAACACCAGAUCCUUAACCCACUGAGCAAGGCCAGGGAUCGAACCUGCAUCCUCAUGGAUACUAGUCAGGUUCUUAACCUGCUGAGCCACAAUGGGAACUUCAUAAAUUAAAUUCUUAAACACUGAGCUAUAAAUAAAUACUAUCAACAUAUCUUGUGUUAGGAGAUUGGAGAAGGAGUAGAAAAAAAUAUUAACACAAACAUUUGUAUCAACGUGAGGAAGAAAGCUCAGCUAUUAAAAGACUCAGUUCUCUAAAUGGUACAUGGUCGUAACUGGUAAUUAUGACCAAAUUAUUCUACAUUCAUGCAAAAUUCCCUUUCCUUCAGGACAUGCCUCACCGAUGGUGGCUGGGCUCUGCUGGGUGAGCUGAACCUUCGUUCCUGAAUGUCCAAGUUUGCAGUUCUGCCUGACUUGGGUUUUUGGAGUUUCCAUUGACUUUUACCCUCAGGACAGAAAUGUACUAAGAAGUCCCCAGAGGCAUCGUCUGCAUUCCAGGCAUACUGUUCCUUUUACCCCCAGGGGGAGGAGCAACCCCAUUGUUCCUUAUUGUCCUGGUCCUGAUCAGUCACCCCAGCAGAAAUGUAACUGCCCCCGUUGCCUGUUGGUUCACUGGCUAGAGCAUCCUAAAGUGGCCAGGUGACAGUUUCAACUUCCAGUUGAGUAGGGUGACUGCUGUUUCCCCUGAUGGAAGCAUUCCUCCCUUAGGAAUUAAAUCUCCAGAUAAAAACAGAGUCGAAAUUCGAAGACACAGGAAGCAUGUAUUUUUCUCAUGGAUCACCAAGAGUCAGACGUUUCCAAUCCCUGAUUCCUGGAGGCUCAAAUCCUGGAUAUGGGAGAAACAAUUGAUUAGGCGUUUAUGCUGCAUCUUAAAGGAAAUUUCCCCACAUCUCCAAAGUGCUGCUACAUAACAGGUGCUAAAAACGAGUCUUAGAAAGGCCCGUUUACCCGUUGCUUCUGGUGGUGGAGAAGUUGGUAAAACAAGUGAAUUCCAUGAGCCUGGGCCAGAGGUGGACUGCAUUUGCCAGGAAGUGGAUUUCUUCUGAGAAGCAAUGAUGUAUGAAAUGCCAUGAUGAUGGAAAAGGCAUUCUGGCAUUGCAGGUAGGGAAGGCAAAUCCACAUCCAGAGUAAUUACCUAGUGAAGUGAGUACAAAGCAGUGCCGCUUCCAUGAUGGCAGUGGUCCAGGUAACCAAUCCACCACCAAGUAGGUGACUGUUCUGGGGACUGUGUCACAGCUGGUACUCAGGGUUAGUCUCUGCUGCAGGUUGACUCUCACAGUGGUUGUAGUCACACCAGGCUUAGUGAGUUGAGGUCCACUUGCUGAGCCCACAGUCAUUUUGUUCAUGGGCCCACUGGGUGAUGACAGGAGGAGCUGGGCAGUGACUCGGACCAGCAUCUGCAGACUGGUAUCGUCUCCACUUGAUUAUUAUAACUCCUCCUCUGCUGGGCUCACCCUUUCGGAAGCAUUCACCAGGAGCACAAAUCAACUCACAUUUUUGCAGGUUUUCAGGCUGACCCACCCCACCCCCCUUCCCCUGACGGCCAGCGUGGGCACGAUCCUGAGAGCGAGAACCUCCUUUGGUCUCAUGUGCCAGGCACCACACUUGUCCCACCCUCAUUCCGACCCAAGCUCCUAUCUCUAAAUCCAAGUUACUGAAAGACCAAGCAAAUUCUCUUUUAGAACUUCUCGCUUCUGAUAUUUUAGAAAUUGAGGGAAAAGGGAAGGAUGCUGGAAGACUAAAGAGGAAUGACUAUUGACUGGUCCUGCCCAGCAGUUCCAGAAGAUACUGGCUCAUGUGUAUCUUUACAAAAACCUCUGUAGCAUGCCAGGCUGGGCAGACUGGACUUUAGGCUGAACACAAUAGGGAGUCACUGAGGAGCUUUAAGCUUAUCGAAAAAGACUGAUGUUGUUGGAGGCAGUGUAUUGGCGGGAGUCUCUGUGUUUGCAGUGUGGACCACGGAACAAAGGGGAAGGGAUUGGAAACUUGAAGGACACCUGUUUUUCUUGAAUAAGCCUAAAAGAAGUGGUGGUCCUUAUAUCUCAAUAAAAGUUAUAUGAAAGAAGUAGUAGUCAAUUCUCACACUAGCCUAGACCAGGGGUAGGCCGCAAGGCACCGUGGAGUAGCAGAGACAGAGAAGCUGUAAAGAUGAGAUCCUACUUACAGAGUCUUCGAAAACUAUGUAGAUAAGAGACGAAAAAAGGGGGGAAGGCAAAUUCUAGGUAAAAAGUGAGCUGAUGGUCUAGUUUAUGAAUUAUCAGACUAUGUACAGAGUUGUUAACGUGGCCCAGUUGAUAACCUCAGGGAAACUCAGCCUCUAGAAAGAUGCGAUUUUCUUGUUUUUUUUUUUUUUUAAUCAAUUCCUGGGAUUUUCUAGUGCGUGCAAUGGCACUCCCAUAUCUCUCUGAGCACUAACUGUUCUUUUUCCUGUUGUAGUCCUCAGGCAAUGAAUUCAUUUAACCUCUUUCAGGUCCAGGUUCCUCUUCUGUGCAGCACUUGGAAAAUUGUUUAGAGCACUGGGUAAGAUGCAACCCCAUGCCCUGGUGUAUUAAUGGGUCACACAUGGUAGUUAUUAUUAUCGUACUUAUUAAUAAUAGCAACUUGAAGAAAUGUAUAGCUAUGUAAAUAUCUGAAUCCCUUCCUGAAACUGAUAAUUAACGGAUGUUAUCCUGAAAUAGGAUUUUGAAUUGAUUCUCUCUUUGCGUUAAUCUUGAUUUGGUCUUAUUCAAAAUGUUAACCAUAGCGUCAGUGAAAAUUUGUUUUAAAGUUUAUUAAAUUUACAAGUGACAUCAAGUGGAAGAAAAAAUAGGUUUGAUAACAAGUUAGAAAUCAAAAAGGAAGCAAAAAUGGUGGCAUAAUAAGACCAUUAGACACAAUUAGCAGAGGGUUCCCCCCACCUUUUUUAUUUUUUUUGUCUUUUGUCUUUUCUGGGGUCGCACCCGAGGCAUAUGGAGGUUCCCAACCUAAGGGUUGAAUCGGAGCCGUAGCUGCCGGCCUACACCACAGCCACAGCAACGAGAGACCCAAGCCUCGUCUGUGACCUACACCACAGCUCACGGCAACGCCGGAUCCGUAACCCACUGAGCGAAGCUAGGGAUCAAACCUGCAACCUCAUGGUUACUGGUAGGAUUCGUUAACCACUGAGCCACCACGGGAACUCCGUUUUUGUUUUUCUUUUAAGAAUAAAUCUACAUCAACUUUCUUUUUGUCUUCAAACAUGCAAACAUGCUGAGUUAAUUCUUGCAUUAUGGCCUUGGCAUUAGUUUUUUCCUUGUCAGAAAUGUUUCAUUCACAUAGCAAGCUCCACGGUGUCUUCCGGAUCUGAGCUCACAGAUCAUCUAUUUGGAGUGCUUCCUAGGCCAUCCCGAGUUAGACAGCACCAUCCUCUUCCUAGGGGCCAGCUGUCAUUCUGUAUCAUUGCCUUCCCUGCAUGGAUCCAGGCUGAACGGUUUUUCAUUUCAUGAAGCUCAGUUGGCAGGCAGCAGGUGCUUCCUCUAGCCUCAUGCUUAUUUCUCUGACAAGAUCCUUCUUGGAGGCAUUCACAGACCCAAGGGCAACACGUUUUGGGCCCUUCACUUCUAGGCUCUCCCCAGACUCAGAGUGAGCUCUGCUGGCCCCAUGUCAACUUCCUUCCAUCUUCUCUUCAGGGAGUUGCAGCCUCCAAGCUAGAAAAAAAAUGCUGGUGGAGGCUGUGGUCUGCUCCCCAAAUGGGGCCAACUCCUGCUUUCUGUCUUGGCUGGCAGGCAGCGAGGGAGGAAUUGCUAGAUUCCAACCUUUACUCUGGCUAGUAGCUCUGCUCUGUUUUAGCUGACCACAUAGCUUUGGGCGAGCAAUUAUCUGAUUUUCGCAGUAGGUUGACUGACAUUUUGGUCUUUUCAUUCUUUUUUUUUUUAAUUUAUUAAUUUUUUUAGCUGAGCCUGAGGCAUGUAGAAGUUUCCAGGCCAGGGAUCGAACCCAUGCCACAGUAGCAACCCUGAGCCACAGCAGUGACAACACCAGGUAGUUGAACCCUCUGAGCCACCAGGGAACUCCAGAUCACCAUUUUUCACUAGGAAAAUGAUUUGCAGAUAGUGAAGUUUUUGCAUCUCUCUGUGAUAAAACUCUCUCUCCCUCUAUUCUUUUCAUGUUUACUAGAUUAAAAUCCUUGCUGACCCUGAAAUGGAAUCCACAGUAUUUCUGUAAUACUUUGGCCUGUACUCAAUAGUAUCAGGCAACUGAGAGAGUUUUAAUUCACCCAGUAGACAUAUAGCAUUAGAGAAUCAUAUGUUCCUCAGCUUUUAAUAGGUUGUCUUAAUUACCCUGAACUAAUUGUUUUCUAACUUUGUCUCCUAGGGAUACAAGACUCAAAUAAAUUUUGAAGUAUUUUGCUUCUUAAAUCUACAAAGUACUUCCUGAUCACAAAAUUGAAUAUUUUCCAUUUCUAAUUGAUGUCACUUUUUCAUACUUAGUCCUUUAUAGAAAUAUAGAAUUAUCAAUCUGCUCUCCACACCACUACUCAAACUUUCAUAAAUUUUAAGGAUUGUCUUUCUCCUCAGUCUCCACAUGACCCAUUUCAAAUUCCCUUAAAAAUUAUCUUGCUCUCUUUAAGAUGUGGUGAUAAAACAUAUAGACAAAACAGAAGAUAAAGGAAAGGUUAUUUCUCAGACUUUGAAAUUAAUAUUCUCUCCAAAUAUAUCCUCCUGGAAUCAUAUUGACUUUUGUAAAGUCAUCAUUUCUGCUGAACAACAAAGUGAUUCAGUUAUACAUGUACACACAUUCAUUCAUUUUCAGAUUCUUUUCUCAUAGAGAUUAUCACAGAACAUUGGGUAGAGUUCCCUGUGCUAGACAGCAAGUCUCUGUUGGCCAGUCAUUCCAUAUUCCACA
RNAcentral lists this long non-coding RNA (5536 nucleotides) under Sus scrofa (pig). RNAcentral's name for it is "lncRNA (ENSSSCG00000055887.1)". The record is from RNAcentral. Lineage: Eukaryota; Metazoa; Chordata; Mammalia; Artiodactyla; Suidae.